This 809-nucleotide ribosomal RNA is filed under the name Pyrenophora fugax. Its description in RNAcentral is "LSU rRNA". It matches the Rfam family "Eukaryotic large subunit ribosomal RNA", at positions 82 to 909 of the family's 3401-position model. Lineage: Eukaryota; Fungi; Ascomycota; Dothideomycetes; Pleosporales; Pleosporaceae. The record is from RNAcentral.
AGUAACGGCGAGUGAAGCGGCAACAGCUCAAAUUUGAAAUCUGGCUCUUUUAGAGUCCGAGUUGUAAUUUGCAGAGGGCGCUUUGGCUUUGGCAGCGGUCCAAGUUCCUUGGAACAGGACGUCACAGAGGGUGAGAAUCCCGUACGUGGUCGCUAGCUAUUGCCGUGUAAAGCCCCUUCGACGAGUCGAGUUGUUUGGGAAUGCAGCUCUAAAUGGGAGGUAAAUUUCUUCUAAAGCUAAAUACUGGCCAGAGACCGAUAGCGCACAAGUAGAGUGAUCGAAAGAUGAAAAGCACUUUGGAAAGAGAGUCAAACAGCACGUGAAAUUGUUGAAAGGGAAGCGCUUGCAGCCAGACUUGCUUGCAGUUGCUCAUCCGGGCUUUUGCCCGGUGCACUCUUCUGCAGGCAGGCCAGCAUCAGUUUGGGCGGUGGGAUAAAGGUCUCUGUCACGUACCUCUCUUCGGGGAGGCCUUAUAGGGGAGACGACAUACCACCAGCCUGGACUGAGGUCCGCGCAUUCGCUAGGAUGCUGGCGUAAUGGCUGUAAGCGGCCCGUCUUGAAACACGGACCAAGGAGUCUAACAUCUAUGCGAGUGUUUGGGUGUCAAGCCCGAACGCGUAAUGAAAGUGAACGGAGGUGGGAACCCGCAAGGGUGCACCAUCGACCGAUCCUGAUGUCUUCGGAAGGAUUUGAGUAAGAGCAUGGCUGUUGGGACCCGAAAGAUGGUGAACUAUGCUUGAAUAGGGUGAAGCCAGAGGAAACUCUGGUGGAGGCUCGCAGCGGUUCUGACGUGCAAAUCGAUCGUCAAA